AUCAUCUGGGCAUGUAUGGUAUCUGUAUCUACGUCAAGACCUGGGCUUUGCUCCACUUGGAGUCAGCUGAUUGACAGGAGGGCAUCUGAAAUUGAGAGGAGAUUUCAGGACGUUUACCCAGCCCUUUAGUGGGGAUCUGUCCGGGACUGUGCAGUCUGAACCUGCAACUGUAAAAGUGCUGUUUGGACUGUGGACAAGUUAGGUUAUAAAUUUUGACCUCUGAAUGGACGCAACCAAUAUUAGCCUUUAAUGCAGUUAGACUCAUUUUGUCAGAGGUCUGGAAAAUUAGGAAAAACUACCAUAUGUCCAAGCCUUCAUGCUUUUCGAAAAUCAGGAUUCAUACCAUGAGGGAAGAUGCCAGCUGCUAGCUAUACCAAAGGACAGAAUGGAAAAAAGGCUCUUCACAAGCCAGAGAGCCAAACUCAGGCAGAAAGCAAUGAAGAAGAAUUAGGACUUUUAAAUGUCCUACACCCAAGCUGUUUUAGCAGCUCCAACCACCACAGCCAGAACGCACCUGGCCUCUGCUCCACCUCAACAGCUCCCACUGCAGUACCACCAUACGGGGCCCUUAGCACUGGCCUCUGCGUUGGACCGGAUUGCCUUGAUGCUACCAAGUGAGGCAUCAGACCAAUAAGAGGGAGCUACUCUGCCGCCUCAGUAUAAUGAGAGAACAGAGACGGCCUCUCCCUCCAGUGCUUGACAGGGAACAUGAUUUAGCAAGGAAUUGCCAUGGCCGGAGCAAAGGAAUUACCGUUUACAGGGAUGGCCAUGGGUGGCUUGGAUGAGAGUGGGCAACCUGUCAGACAUUACUGGACAUCCAGCCCAUUUUCAACAUCUAACUUGUGAAAUGGAAAAACUCCACCCCACUUUAUACAAUGGAUCCCCAGAAAAUGACUGAUCUCUAUGUGUCUAUCUGUGCUACCCACCAGCGUACCUGAGCAGAUGUGUAGUCUCUCCUAAAUAUGUUUCUGACUGCAGACCAAAGAAGGUCCAGAGUCUUGGUGCCUCCAUGAAACAAAUCCAAAUACCCCAAACCUGAAGGGACCAUUCUGGAUGCAAACCCUAAUUGGGGCUCCAAUUGAUAAGGGGACAUGGCCCAUCUGGAAUAUUCACAAACAUUCUUCCUGUUUGGACUCAGGAAAGGGGUACCAAAACAGGAAGCCUCACUAGGAAUGACCCCUUCCCCGCUCCAGAGACAAAGAAACAGAAGUUUCAACCAUAAACGUGGAAUGAACAAGGAAGCCUCUGCAUCAGAAAAAUCGAGGCAAGCCUCUGGAACACAGCCAGUGUGCCUAGUGUAAGGAGAAAGGCCACUGAAAGGAUGACUGUCCCAAAAGAAAGGACCAAGGGGCCAGAAAAAGGAGGAAUAUGAUGAGGAAAAAGCUCAAAGUCAAAUCAUGGAGCAGGGUCACUGCUCUGACCACAGAGAGUGAUGCCUGGGGACUCUCCUUAAUCACUCAGAGACAAUUAAAAUUUCCCCACAGGAACCCUGGGUACAACUGACAGUGAGGAAAAAGUUAAUUGAUUUCCUGGUUGAUACUGGGCAAACUAUUCAGUUUUAACACUUUAUGAGCAAAAAGCACCAAAAUGAUUGUACCUGUGAUAGGAGUUGCAAGAAUAAUGCAACAAAAGGCUUUCCUACAACCUUUAGAAUGCAAACUAGAAAGUUUGGACCUAAGGCACUGCUAUUUCUAUAUGUAAGAAUGCCCAAUUCCCUUGCUGGGAAAAGACCCAUUAUGCAAAUUAAAUACUCAAGUAAUUUAUCCCCAGAGAAACAACUAUGGCUGCAGGUCCUGCUAAAGCAAGCACUGCAACUAAGAUGUUACUCACUUGCCUUAAGAAGAAACAAGAAUUCUCCCUCAGAAGUCUAUGAGAGAGUGCGUAAUUGUGAAUAGGCAGAAGGAAUCCCAGGAAAAACAAGAAAUAUACAGUGAGUGCAUAUAGAAAAAAUAGAAGGGGCUACUGUGACCUGGGCGGCGGGGAGGAGGCGAAUAAAAAAAUCAGUAUACAUUAAGAAAGGAAGCCUUAGAAGGAAUACAGCCUGUCUUUCAAAAAUUUGAGAAGUGGACUGAUUCAUCCUUGCAGAUCCCCAUAUAAUAGCCCUAUCGUGCCUGUAAGGAAGCUACACUUCUACAAAUAUCAAUUUGCCCAAGACCUGAGAACCGUUAAUAAAAUAGUCUUGGAUAUUCACCCAGUGGUGCCUAACCCAGAUACUCUACUGACUGCUAUAUAUAGACAUUAUGAAUGCUUUUCAGUGCUAGAUCUGAAAGAUGUUUUCUUCUGCAUUCCAAUUGAAGAAAAGACCCAACAAUUAUCAUUAUUAUUUUUAAUGACAGGACCGAGAGACUAAAACAACCUUUCAAUACUGUUAGACAGUGGGGUCUCAAUGUGUUAAAAAAUGCACCAACAAUUUUUGGGGAAAUACUGGCAAAAGACUUAGGAGACCUACAACAAGAUUAAGAAGCCUGGCUACAACACAUAGAUAAUUAAUAGCCAGCCACAACUAUAGGAAAUGCUUAGCUGAUGUCAUUUUAGUUCUAAAUCACCUGGUACAAUAUGGAUACAAAGUAUUCCCAAGAAGCCCCAAAUAUGUAAGUAGAAAGUAACCUGUCUUGGCUUUAGGUUAAAGCAAGGCCAAAGGAGCCUGGUCUGGUAAAAAAAAAAAACAAAAAACAGGCAAUAGCAGCCAUAAAGCUCCAGAGAAUGGGGGCAACCAUGGGGAUUCUUAGAAAGGGUUAGCUUCUGCCAGAUUUGAUUCCUAAGUUUGGACUAAUGACUAAAACACUUUAUGAAUCCUUAAAGGAUUCACUAGACUCAGAGGCCCUUCUCUGGACAUCUAAAGGUCAACAAACAUUUUAUACCAUCAAAGAAAAGCUGAUAUCACCCCCUGCACUGGGAUACCAAAUUCCCAAAAGCUGUUCAAACUCUAUAUCCAAGAGAAACAAAGCAUAGGUGUGGGUUGUGCUAAUGCAAAUGCUGGGAGAUGCCCCACAAUCCAUGGCCUAUUUCUCUAAACAAUUACACCAAAGAUUAAGGGAUGGCUCCCCUUCCUCUGGGCAAGAGCACCCACUGUGAAGUCCUACAGGAAGUAGAACAAUUUACUCUGGGACAGCCAGUUACCUUGUUUGUACCCCAUCAGGUGCUGACUCUGCUAGAACAAACGGGAGGCUACUGGCUCACUGUGGGGUGAGUGGGCAGAUACCAGGCCAUCCUCUUAUAUGAUCCAAAUAUCACCCUACAAACCACCAUGGCUCUAAACCCUGCCACACUGCUCUCAGCCACUGAACACAAUCCUGGGUUAAAGCAUGACUGUAAAUCCUUGAUGCAGCUUAUUCAAGCAUGCUGAACCUGUCAAACUAGACAAUGAGUGCUCUGGACUUGAACUACACUGAUGGGAGCAGCUUAAUGAAAGAUGUGCACAGAGCCGGAUGUGCCACUGUGACUACCAAAAGGGUAAUAGUAGUCCAUACCCUUCCUGCAGCUACCUCCGCACAAAGAGCUGAGUUAAUUGCUCUUACCUGAGUCUUUAGAACUGUCCCAGGAAAUGGGAGUAAAGAUUUAUUCUGAUUCCAUAUAUGCAUUCCUGGAAAUGCACGCCAAUUGGGUGAUCUGGAAACAUAGAGGAGGUUGCUUGAAAUCAGAAAAUACAGACAUUAAACACCCAAGAGAAAUUCUGGACCUAGUAAAGGCAAUUGCCUUGCCUGCCCAGGCUUCCAUCAUGCACUUCCCCAACACCAGAGACAUAAUUCACAACCGAAGGUAACCAGGCAGCUGGCAAAGCUGCAAAAUGAGCUGCUUGGGAGGCACAGGUCCUGGGACAUGAAUACUCCAUUUGGAAUUACUAGAUUUUAAACCUCAUUACACUGAACAAGAUCCCAAACGUGCCCAAGCCAGGGGUUUGAGAAAAGAGAUUCCAAUUCCCCUAGAAAACUGACACCUAUAAGAUAACGCCUACAGGAUGAUGAAACCCCAAGGCCUUGGUUUAUCCAAUCUCAAAACAUCUACAUAAAGGAAUGCACUAUGGGAGUGAUGUCCUCGCCAACCUAGUACAACCACACCUCAGUAGACCACACUUUCAAAACAUCACUCGGAAAAUUACACAGGGAUGCAUCUUGUGCACUACAAACAAACAAUCCCAAGAUGGAAUGUAGUCCUCCUAAAAAGGAGAUAUAGUACAAAGAGCUGAGUCCCUUCAAAGACUGAAAGGCGGGCUUCACUCAGAUGCCUACCUGGUUAUGUGCGCCAAGGAAAGAUCUGAAGUUAUUAAUAAAAGAAAAAGAAGGAGAUAUAAGCAA
Molecule: long non-coding RNA, 4295 nt
Filed under: Homo sapiens (human)
Lineage: Eukaryota; Metazoa; Chordata; Mammalia; Primates; Hominidae
Description: Prader-Willi region non-protein coding RNA 2 (PWRN2)
Source: RNAcentral